UACGGAGGAUGCGAGCGUUAUCCGGAAUCAUUGGGUUUAAAGGGUCCGUAGGCGGGCUAAUAAGUCAGGGGUGAAAUCGUUCAGCUCAACUGAGCAACUGCCUUUGAAACUGUUAGUCUUGAAUAGUUGUGAAGUAGUUGGAAUGUGUAGUGUAGCGGUGAAAUGCUUAGAGAUUACACAGAACACCGAUAGCGAAGGCAUAUUACUAACAAUUGAUUGACGCUGAUGGACGAAAGCGUGGGGAGCGAAC
Molecule: ribosomal RNA, 250 nt
Filed under: uncultured bacterium
Lineage: Bacteria
Also listed under: 1 other name
Description: partial 16S ribosomal RNA
Rfam family: Bacterial small subunit ribosomal RNA
Source: RNAcentral